UUAUCCCAGAUCCACAUGUCUCUUAUUUUCUCCUGAUUUUUCUUCCUUGGUGGUGGCACAUGUGGCUGGAUGAGUGGGUGGAUCUCGGCGACCUCGCUGCUCAAAAUUGUCGUAGCCGGAGGCCCUGGAUGCUGGGGCUGCUUAGGCAUUGAGGGAGGUCACGGAGGAACAAAUUUCAGCAAGACGUGAGUAUUUCUGCGAGUGCCUGUUAGUUGGUGCCCUCCUGUUGUCUGUACUUGUACCAAAAUGUAAAUGUUAUUGGAACCAUAUAAGUUUUUUUGAAGUUGAAUGAUCUAGAAAUCAGAAUAAGAUUUUAUCUUUCCAUUGGUAAACAACUUUUGGUGUGAAAUUAGGAAUCAUACCACAACUUUCUGUCUAGAGAUAGGCACUUAUACUUGUUCUCCGAAUUCUGCAAUAUAGAAUAGAGUACAGUAAAGCACAAAUAUGGAUCUGCUUGAAUUUAGUCUAACUGAACCUAGCAAGGUGCCCUUGUAUCUAAUUAUUGAUUGAUAGUAAAAAGAGUAGUUUUAGAUGCACGUUUACUGAGGUAGGUAGCAAAAGAAUCAGCUUAAUGUGAGAAAUACAUGUGUCUAGCUGCAGUUUAAGUUUUCAAUUUCAGUGAUUUACGCGCGGCUAGUUUUCUUCUUCCAAUCUCUUCAUGUAUGUACGGACACACUUUGCCAGUGCGUGGACGCGUUUGUUGCAUUCUCAAGGAUGUGGAAUAUUAUUUCUUGUACUUUAUCCGUAGCAGUGUGGUACUCCAUACUAUUUUUAAUUUGCUUUUUAGCAAGAAAUACUUUUUUAUGGUGCCUUCUGUCUGAAAAAACACCUUAUGAACAGGAUUGGUUCAUAUGUAUCAAUCAGUUUUUUUAUUUUCUUAAAUUGCAAAGGCCUCACCUCUUGUCUGUUCACCCUGCUUAUUAAUUUUGGUAUAGGUUAGUUGAGCUGAAGCUGGCUUGUUGAAUUUUCUCAUGUAACUUUUGGUCACCACAUCAAGUAACCGCGAAACAUAUUUGAGUUGCCAGCAAAUUUUUAGUGACAUAAGCAAUUAAUGUGAUUAGAUAGUGUAUUUUCUUUGCGGCUAAUUCUAAAUGUGGGACCGUUUUUCUUUUGUGAGAAUAGCAGUGCCAGGCUAAACUAUCUGUAUGUACACAGUAGAGAGGUCGUUGAUAUGCUUACAUCCUCUUCUGCUAUUAAGUUGCAAAAGCAAGGUAUGUUACUAUCUAUUGCGAAUGGCCUCGUCUAGAUUUGGCAAAGUAUAGUAUUGUGAAAUGAAUCCUAAUGUGUGAAACUCUUGUCUUGUAUUAUGUUCCUGUCUAUUAACAGAUUUGGCUAAAUUAGCAUGUUUGUAAAGGAAACUACAUAAAGAAAGCUAUUAAUCUGUUUUAGAGUAAGAACAUUGCUAACAUUCGUACCCUUAAUCUAAUAAGUAUCCUUCUUAUCUAUGUCGAUGUCAAGUACUCUCACUUAUCGUUGUCGAUGCAAAUAGGCGGUCGUACUAUUUAUUUCAUAAGCUACUAAUCUACUAAUUAUCUAGAUAACAUCCUUGUUCUCCUGGGCUUUUGUUUACGUAAUUCAUCUUCAUGUUAAAGCAUUGUUUUUUUGGCUUUCAUUUAAAUCUAAAAGUGUCUAUAAGAUUCUUCCAAAUAGUAGCAUGGAUUGUUUCACCCUGUACAAUCAAAUAUGGUUAGUAACUGUUUCUUAAUCUGACUGAUAAAAUUCCAAUCAAAUAUGUUAGUAAACAGACCUGCUCAUUGAUCAGUAUCAUAUCUAGGAUAAAAAAGUUAGCUAGCCGUACACAUUUGUUAAUAUCUGUAUUCAUGAAAGUAGUGUAUGGUAACAAUAAUCUGCAUUGUCAUGUUCUUUUUUCCUGUUGAAAAAAUAAUUAGAAACCCAAUCUAUAAUAUCCUUUUGUAUACAGUAUUUCCGGCCAUAUCUAACACAUGAACAUCAUGCUUUUGAACCAUACAUUUUAUUGUUUAAUUGAAUGACAAAAAUUAGAAGAUCUCUUUGUAUACUAUAUUCUUUGCGCUAUCUUCGCUUGGGCACUCCGUGUCAUCAAUCAGCACCUUCAAUCCUUCUCUGUUUGUGACUCUUGAUAAUGCCACAUAUAGUUGGCCAUGACAGAAGACUUGCUUAGGCAAAUAUAGACCCACCUUGUCUAGGGAUUGACCUUGGCUUUUAUUUAUGGUCAUUGCAAAACAAACUGAUAGAGGACAUUGCCUUCUUUUCAGCACGAAGGGCCACUUCGAGUCGCUUGGUGACAUAAUGAUUUUAGGUAUGUAUACCUUGUCACCGACGUGUGUUCCUGUGAUUAUUUGUGCCUCAAUGUACCUGUUUCCCAGCUGUGUGAUAGUCAUUCUUGUACCAUUGCAUAAACCUGCCGCUUGAUUGAUGUUGCGUAGGAGCAUAACCGGCAAGCCUACCUUCAGUUUUAGCUCGUGGUUUGGAAUUCCUGGGAAGGUCAAUUUGUUAAGGAACUCUGUUGGACACAUAUUCUCCAUUGUGUUGUAAUUUGUUGUUGCCUUGCAUACAGUGUCCAAGCUUAGGUAUGUCACCUCUUCACCUUGUAUUUGGCUCAUUACGUAGUCAUUUAUCUUAUCAACUGUUUCAUUCCUUGGACAUAGUAUUGCUCUUUCUUCAAGAAAUUCACGGUCACGAUAGUUUUGGUGCAAGUUUGGGUACGUGCUUUUUACUAUCGCUUCUUUCGGGUCUUCUCCUUUUUGCAGAAUUAUGUCUUUAGGUAUUUUUACCCAAUCAUCUCCCUCAUCGUUUGUUUGUUUUCCGUCGCCAAUUUGUAAUAUCCAUUCUGCAAAUUCAGCCACAUUUUGCUUUUGUAUUGGAUCUUCUGACAGGCACUUCAGCCGCAUGUUUUCAGUUAGUCUAAAUAUUUCGAAGUGCUUCCAUAGGUAUGACCUUUUGACUGAGGCAUUUACUAUCUGCUCUCUCUUUCCCUUUGUAACCACUGGAAGUAUUUGCCUGAAGUCACCUCCUAGCACAACUGUCAUGCCACCAAAUGGCCUUUCGUCACUGUUUUGGUUUUGGAACCUUAGAAUAUCCCUAAGGAUUUUGUCUAGUGCCUCGAAGCAGUGUUUGUGUGCCAUAGGAGCCUCGUCCCACAGUAUCAGUGAGGUCCUCUUUACCAGUUCAGCCAAAUGUGAGCCUUGUUUUAUUUCACAUGUUGAUUCUUCUGUGAUAUUUAUUGGAAUGUGGAAUCUUGAGUGCGCUGUUCUUCCACCUUGGAGGAGCAAUGCUGCAAUGCCAGAUGAUGCUACUGCAAGCACUAUUUUCCCCUCCAAUCGUAGCUUUGUUGUGAUUGCUUUCCAUAGAUAAGUUUUGCCUGUGCCACCGUAGCCCUCUACAAAUAUCUGUUUUCCAAGUCCUCUGUAAGCUGAUUCCAUUAUGGCAUCAAAGGCAAUUUUCUGGCCAUAGUUAAGAUUGCUAACUAUGGUUUGGUGCUCAAUCUUUAGUGCUUGUGAGUCGUAGCUAAGUUCUUCAUUUAUCAUUCUGUUCCCAAGUUGUUCAAGUUCAGUAGCAUUUGGUAGUUCUAUGCCUGGAUAGUCCUUUAGUGUCUUUCCAGCUUGCCUCAUUAGUUUCUCUAUCUCGAUCAGAGCAUAUGAUUUUUUCUAUGAAUCAGUUAGCUGCAGCAUAGGAAAGUUUAGGAUUAUUCUUCUUUUGUACUGGAUAUCUUCAGAUAGUGCCUCCCAUGUUGAAUCCCACAACAUUUUUGGGCUGGUCACCUCACAAUGGCAUAAUAUUGUGGUGAAUAGCUGCUGUAAUCGUAUCCCUGACCCCCAACUUGAUGCUUCAUUGAUGCCUUCAAUCCACUCACUAUCGUCAUCAAGAAAUCCAAGCGCUUGGCAUGCUGAUUUGUAUGUUGGGUGAACUACUCCAUUAAUUGUUCUAAUAUCCUCAAAUGAUGUGCAUCCUUUCUUGGUGUUUAGAAGCAUUCUCAUAUAAUACCAGUCACCACUUGUAGGGUGUGCAUAGUAAAUUCUUCCAUUCGCAAAGCCCCUUUUCCGCUUCUCCCAAGUUUUGGAGUCACUUUUCCAUACAAAUUUUGAUGGGAAUUCUGCAUAGGUUAAUUCUUUUCCCACCUCAUGUAUUUUGUUUGCCUCCAUCCACUCAGUGAACUUAGUACUUGUGGAUCCUGGCAUUCUUACUAUUUUUUCAAUGUCAGUCGAGUCCGGAAAAAUAACUUGUUGCUCGUUUUCAAUGUGGAAUGGCAGUCUCUCUACUGGUGGAUCACGAUGGUGUAUCUCGUCUCUAGGUAUUUCUUCAGAAUGUGGAAUGGCAGUCUCUCUAGGAAUAUCCGCCAGCAUGCUUCGAUUGUUGAUAUGUAUCUCGUCUCUAGGUAUUUCUUGGUUUCAUCAUAGUCGCUUGUCGCGUCCCUUUCCUUUAGUAAGGCUGUUACUUGGUCGUCAUCUUUAUGGAUGUACUUAAAUAGGUACUUGAUUGACCUGGACCUGUUGCACCAUUCCACAUUUAUGUGAGCUUGGAAUUUGACCAAAAGGUUUCUGUUGUAUGGCACAACAAAUCUGUUAUCGAGCAUUGCUCCUCCCUUUUUGAUAUUCCUUCCAUUGUCUUGCCUUCUAUAUACUGGAAAGCCAUCCUCAUCGAUUGUCGUAUCGAUAUUGUACCGUUUUGGGAAGUGUUUAGUGCAUUUGUUGUCUAUCAUGCAUGGUGAUUUUGUAUUUGCCUCUCCGCAAGGCCCGUGCAUCAUGAAGUUUUCAACAGCUUCAUAUCCGUCCAGAUCAACAUCUUUGUCUGGGAUCUCUGCACUGAUUAUUUGGUUGAUUUCUGAUGGUCCUUUGCACUUGUAAUUCUCCUUGAGAAAUACCAAUAUGUGCACAUGCGGGAGUCCCCUCUUCUGGAACUCUAUUGUGUAGAUAACUGCAUUGAUUGAAUAUAUAGUUUUAUUUUGUUAAAAUUUGGAAUCAUUUUAAUACAUAGAUAAAGGCUAUUGUGUGUUUAAAAAUUGAAACUUUAGGUCCUAUUAGUUAGCGAUUAGUAGUCGACUGAUCUUACUUGCUAUAGUUUCUCCAAACUGUUUCUUCACAACGAUAUCUCUCAUUAGCUCCUUCAGUUUUAUCAUGAAUACUCGGUCAACAAUAUCUGGUCGGUCGGCUGGCUUGAGCCCUCCUCCUGCUUCAUCUAGCAUGUAUUGGAUCUCAGGCCACUUUGCAUUGCAUGUGAAUGUUAUAAAUAGGUCUGGAUAUCCAGCCCAACGGCAUAUUGCAAAUGCGUCUUGCAAGUUUUGUGCCUUGUUUCUUCUACCUCCUAUAUAAGAUGAAGGUACAAUUAUCCUCUUUCCGACCUGCUCUGUUCUGGUGUCCCCUUGCUCAAUCGCGUCCUGCAGUCCACUGUAAAGUUCAGUUCGUAGCUUCCCUUGAUUAUUCCUGAUCCAGUUUAGUCUGUUUUGCUCAAUGCAUGUGUAAACAUCCACCCAAAAUUGAAGCGAGAGAUGUCUAGAUGUUAGCAAUGACAUUCCUUGGUCGGGUCUUUGUUGUAGGUAGUAUGCAUAGUAGUCCAGCAUAGUUACAUAUUUCCUGCUUUUGUCACCUUCUUUUGUUCGCUUGUAAGGUAUUUCAAGCUUGAAUCCAUCUUCUCCGUAUGGAAACAAUAACGGGUAUUGCAUUGACAUUAAUUUUGGAUGGAUUUCCGAUAUUCUGUGAGGUUCCAUAUUUUUGUACUCAACAACGAUGUCUCGUCCUUCGCUCUCUCCAGUAGGGUCUCCUACAACUAAUGCUGCAACGUCUGAUGCUGAUGGAAGGUUGUGUGUUCCGUUCCUUUUCCCAAGUAUUUGAAGCGUGUAAUCGUGGUAGUCUUCUUCUUCGAAUCUAUCUCUUGCUAUUCUGAAUGACUUUGCAAGGAUGUUGUUCUCAUCAAGCAUUUCUUGUAGUUCCUUGACAAUGGCAGGGUCCACUGUUGUUUUUUUAUCAUUGCAUCUUGAAGCAUCUAUCCUGUUUUGUACCUCAUUUUCUGUCUGAUAGAUGUAUAGCUGGGCAAAUCGAGGUUUGUUACCUUCUUCGGGUAGAAGACUUCCAAUAUGGUGGUAGUUCUGGCCAUGCAGUCUAAAAACAUAUGGUCCUUUGCCUUUGUUUAUUUCUUUGUCAACAAUUCCUCCCAUUGACGUGAAUGAGAACAUUGAGUUGUAUGACCUUAUAUUUUCUCUGAAGUUUGUUGCAUCACUUCCUUCACCUGUUAAUAGCCCUCCAAGGUAAGGUGGAGGAUAUGCUAUCUUUGGUAGGCCAAUUUUACCUUGUUUGCAGCAAAUUCCGAAAGAAGGUUUUUUGUUUCCUCUAUGAGAAUUUAAUCUUUCUUCACACCAUAGUAUUGCAUUGCAAUGUUCGCAUAUGUAUGUUGGCUUUCCAAAGUUCCAUAUCGUGCUAUAAUAACUUCCGGAUGUAGUGCUGCUGGUUCUUUCUAUGAUGUUUCUUUCAAGCUCAUUGUCGCUUGCAUUUUUUCUUGCACGCUUGACAUCUUUUCUUUCUUUGAUUUGUUCCUUUCUCUUCCCUGAAGCAUCUUCUUCUGUUUUAUUGGUUGUUUCCUGUGUAUUCCUGCAUCUCUUACUCCUUUUUUGUUGGAGUUGUUGUUUCCUCCUGAUAAUAGCUUCUCUAGCUUCUUUUGUAAGUUGGCCUGCUGAUUUUGAUGUGCACUGUCCCUUCAUUUCUGCAUUGGAUAUUCUUUUAGCAAUAUAGUAUAAUAUAAUUCUAAUUUCUGCAUAAUGUCGUCAAGAGGCUAACGAUAUAUGCAAUAAAUAGGAGAUGGUGGCUGCAUGUAGACAAUCUAUAAUACUUCGAUCAUGCUUUCAGGAUUACUGUGUUUUGUGGUUCGAGCUGCUGUGUAUGGCAUUAUUGGAGGGACAGUGUGCUUGUUUCUCAGUGAACAACAAUUGUUCCAUGGGAAUUACUAAGGCAAAGUACUCUCUAAGAUCAUUGUUAGCAAUAUACGUAAAGUUAUUAGGUUCUACAAUAUUAACAAAGGUAAAUAUUUGAAAUGUAUAUGUUACAAAUGUACCAAAAAAAAGUGUGCAUUACAUGAAGAUUGUAAAAUCUCAAUGAUAUACCUGAUAAUGUUUUCUUGUCUUUGUUUUUCUAAUUUUGUAAAGCUUCACACGCAUGUGCUAAUUAUUGUCGUAAUUGUAUCUUUGCUGCAAAGCCAAUCCUGUAGCGAUCUUGGAAAAUAUUUUAUACCAUGUACAAAUUAUUAGAGCAUAUUUUUUAUUGCUGCAGUGACUUUAUCAGUCUGUGAGUCACUUUUAGUUCAUCACAGAAGCUCUUAC
This 7285-nucleotide long non-coding RNA is filed under the name Triticum aestivum (bread wheat). RNAcentral's name for it is "long non-coding RNA (TAES_LNC027029)". Lineage: Eukaryota; Viridiplantae; Streptophyta; Magnoliopsida; Poales; Poaceae. The record is from RNAcentral.